This is a non-coding RNA of Ciona savignyi (Pacific transparent sea squirt), 69 nucleotides long. Lineage: Eukaryota; Metazoa; Chordata; Ascidiacea; Phlebobranchia; Cionidae. The record is from Rfam.
GUCAAGCAAUCUCGGGCUUGGUUAGUACUUGGAUGGGUGACCGCUUGGGAAUACCAAGUGUGAUAAGCA